UCCAUUAUCGUAUAAAGCCCAACCUAACAAUUUGAUUGGUCCGUCCAGCUCUGGUUCGAGCAUAGUUGCUCUACAACAGAUUAAGUCCAGAUCGAACUUCCCGACCUCAAAUGUUGUGGGCGAGGCUAAUACCUCAGAAAAAAGGU
Etheostoma spectabile (orangethroat darter) is the source of this 146-nucleotide long non-coding RNA. RefSeq lists it as uncharacterized. The record is from RefSeq and is a predicted model, not a curated record. The transcript has 3 exons. NCBI's taxonomy places the organism in Eukaryota, Metazoa, Chordata, Actinopteri, Perciformes, Percidae.